Molecule: ribosomal RNA, 253 nt
Filed under: uncultured bacterium
Lineage: Bacteria
Description: partial 16S ribosomal RNA
Rfam family: Bacterial small subunit ribosomal RNA
Source: RNAcentral
GACAGAGGUGCCGAGCGUUAGGCGGAAUCACUGGGCUUAAAGCGUGUGUAGGCGGAUACCUAAGUACUUUGUGAAAUCCCACGGCUUAACCGUGGAACUGCUUGGUAUACUGGGUAUCUUGAGCCAACUAGAGGCAGUCGGAACAAACGGUGGAGCGGUGAAAUGCGUAGAUAUCGUUUGGAACGCCAAUGGUGAAAACAGACUGCUGGGGUUGUGCUGACGCUGAGACACGAAAGCCAGGGGAGCGAACGGG